UGGGGAAUAUUGCACAAUGGUGGAAACCCUGAUGCAGCGACGCCGCGUGAGCGAAGAAGGUUUUCGAAUCGUAAAGCUCUGUCCUAUGAGAAGAUAAUGACGGUAUCAUAGGAGGAAGCCCCGGCUAAAUACGUGCCAGCAGCCGCGGUAAUACGUAUGGGGCGAGCGUUGUCCGGAAUUCUUGGGCGUAAAGGGUACGUAGGCGGUCUAUUAAGUCAGGUGUGAAAGCGUGAGGCUUAACCUCAUUAAGCACUUGAAACUGAUAGACUUGAGUGAAGGAGAGGAAAGUGGAAUUCCUAGUGUAGCGGUGAAAUGCGUAGAUAUUAGGAGGAAUACCGGUGGCGAAGGCGACUUUCUGGACUUUUACUGACGCUCAGGUACGAAAGCGUGGGGAGCAAACAGG
Molecule: ribosomal RNA, 403 nt
Filed under: Verrucomicrobiota bacterium
Lineage: Bacteria; Pseudomonadati; Verrucomicrobiota
Description: Verrucomicrobia bacterium partial 16S ribosomal RNA
Rfam family: Bacterial small subunit ribosomal RNA
Source: RNAcentral